GACGAACACUGGCGGCGUGCUUAACACAUGCCAGUCGAACGGUGAAGGGGCCUGCUUUUGUGGGCCCUGGAUGAGUGGCGAACGGGUGAGUAACACGUGAGUAACCUGCCCCCUUCUUCUGGAUAACCGCAUGAAAGUGUGGCUAAUACGGGAUAUUCUGGGUCUGUCGCAUGAUGGGUCUGGGAAAGAUUGCGCCUUUGGGUGUUUUUGGUGGGGGAUGGGCUCGCGGCCUAUCAGCUUGGUGGUGGGGUGAUGGCCUACCAAGGCGGUGACGGGUAGCCGGCCUGAGAGGGUGGACGGUGAAACUGGGACUGGGACACGGCCCAGACGCCUACGAGAGGUAGCAGUGGGGAAUAUUGCACAGUGGGCGCAAGCCUGCUGCAGCGAGGCCGCGUGAGGGAUGGAGGCCUUCGGGUUGUAAACCUCUGUCGCCAGUGAAGCAGGCCUGCUUCCUGUUGGUGGGUUGACGGUAGCUGGAGAAGAAGCGCCGGCUAACUACGUG
RNAcentral lists this ribosomal RNA (502 nucleotides) under uncultured bacterium. RNAcentral describes it as "partial 16S ribosomal RNA". It matches the Rfam family "Bacterial small subunit ribosomal RNA", at positions 28 to 507 of the family's 1533-position model. The record is from RNAcentral.